GUGCCAGCCGCCGCGGUAAAACGUAGGUGACGAGCGUUAUCCGGAUUUACUGGGCGUAAAGCGUGUGCAGGCGGUUGAGUAAGUGGUGUAUGAAAGCUCCGGGCUUAACUCGGAGAGGUUAUGCCAGACUGCUCGGCUUGAGGCAGAGAGAGGGACAUGGAAUUCCGGGUGUAGUGGUGAAAUGCGUAGAGAUCCGGAGGAACUCCAGAGGCGAAGGCGGUGUCCUAGCUCUGACCUGACGCUCAGACACGAAAGCAUGGGGAGCGAACGGGAUUAGAAACCCGGGUAGUCC
RNAcentral lists this ribosomal RNA (292 nucleotides) under uncultured bacterium. Its description in RNAcentral is "partial 16S ribosomal RNA". It matches the Rfam family "Bacterial small subunit ribosomal RNA", at positions 505 to 796 of the family's 1533-position model. The record is from RNAcentral.